GCACGCCGUAUGAGAUGAAAGUCUCACGUACGGUGUAGAGCGGGGGAAAAGGUUGAGAUUGUGUUACUUAUACGCCU
Molecule: non-coding RNA, 77 nt
Filed under: Hungatella effluvii
Lineage: Bacteria; Bacillati; Bacillota; Clostridia; Lachnospirales; Lachnospiraceae
Source: RNAcentral